This 2150-nucleotide long non-coding RNA is filed under the name Aquilegia coerulea. RNAcentral's name for it is "long non-coding RNA (ACOE_LNC002098)". The record is from RNAcentral. Lineage: Eukaryota; Viridiplantae; Streptophyta; Magnoliopsida; Ranunculales; Ranunculaceae.
UCCUAUUUACCAGUGAAGUACAUUGAUCAAAGGCUUUGAUUUAGAUUUAACUAUGGCUUCAAGCAAUCAAUUCAUUGCUACAUUGUUACUUGCUUUUGCAUUUUCAAGCAUCAAUGUAAGUAUCGCCACUCGCCAUCUCUUGGACACUCCCUCAGCUCCAACGUUGCCUGUCGUUCCAACCAUUCCGAUGCCUACAUUACCCUCCCUACCUACAAUUCCUACAUUGCCUUCUUUUCCUGCCAUGCCCACAGCUCCAAAGGUCACACUGCCUCCCAUGCCAUCUCUUCCAUUGCCAACGAUGCCAACCAUUCCAAAGGUGACAUUACCCCCCAUGCCAUCUAUUCCGCUUCCAACUAUGCCUACUACUGUUCCAAAGGUCACACUGCCUCCCAUCCCAUCCAUUUCAAUUCCCACCAUCCCUUCAAUUUCCACUAUAAUUCCCUCAAUUCCAUUCUUUUCUCCUCCACCUUCAACCACAAGUCCAUAAAAUACUGUGAUACUACUUGUUAGAUCGAUACUGGUCCAGCUGGGGGGUGUAUGCCAGUUUUAUUGGAUUUUACUUUGAAAUUUGCAUUAUUUUUCAUUUCUUAUAUGUAUUGUGUUUUAUGAAUUUGAUUUAGUCAUUGUAUUGUUUCAGUUUGUAUUUCUAUUUGAUUGACUAAUAAAAUUUCGUUUUUAAGUUAUUGUUCAAAGGGAAUUUAGCUAACUGUAACUAUAAUUCAUGAAAUUACAACAAACCUCAGAAAUGCUUGUAAUAAAUUUGGCAAUCAGACCUUUCAAAAGCCACCUUUGUUCAGCACUCAAGUGUCUAGAGCUGCAUACAUAGAGGGAAAUCCACAUGGAUUCAUAGUUCAAAAAUUUAAAGAGAAUGGUCACCAUGUCAAGGAAAUCACCCUAAUCAAAAGUUCAUUUCUGUGCAACAUUAGAACUAACCAUCAAUAUAUAGCAAAAUAAAUCAAUGAACUGACCAUUUUUCUAUGAUGUGGCCCUGAGAUCAUCCUCUCCUCCAAAAACCAAUAUUGUUUCAGACUAGACAGACGGAAAGGGGGAAAAAAAGCUCAAUCCUAGGUAGAUUUUGCAAUGUACAAAAUGAGACCGAUCAAUUAUCAUCUGGGGAUGUCAACAUCGCGUAAAGCUCUGGAAGGUGGGAAUUGGUCAGCUUGGUUCUCUUACUAAUUCUGCGCACCUUUUUCUUGGCCUUGGACGACUUGGGUUCAAUACCUAGCAUCUGAGCCAUAGCCAUCCGUUCAGCUGUAUUGGUAGAAGGCUUUAAUCCAUUCUUCUUAAGUUCUUUCUCUAUGUCAAUCAUAACAGUAGGCAAUGGAACUUCCCAAAAUACCUUUUUCAAAUAAUCAUCAUCAAGCUGAAACGACACUUUGGGAUCAUUCGGGUACACAAUGUCUUCCUGAACAAUGGGUUUCGACAACCACCAAAUCUUGUGAACAGCCUUCAAAGUUUUCAAGUCUUCCAUAACAGUAGGGUAAGCAUCAUUAAGAUCGACGACAGCAAUACCCUCAGGAAAUUUUUGUAUCAAACCAAACAAUUCAUUCUUAUCUUUCAAAUUAUAUCUAGGCUUAUACCAAAAGCACUGUCCAUCAUAUCUCACUUUAACAUUAUUCCUCAAACUAUCAAACACAGCAUUGUUUCCCUUAACAUCAACAUAACAAACUUGAUUAAUUUGUUCUGCUGUAAAACCCUUCCUUGUCUGUAACAACAAAUCUAUAACAAGUUUUAACUGAGACCCAACUGGUGACUUUCUUAUGUUGUGAAUUUGCUGAAGUCUCGCGAUAUCGUUUGAGAAAUUCAGAAUUGGGUUAGGAGCUUUUUGUAACAUCAUGAUAGAUGAUGAUGAUGAUGUGCUUGUUGGUGCAGCAAGUUCCUGUACGUGCAAGUUCAAACAAAUUAGGGUUUAGGGUUUAAGAUUAAAAAACAAAUAUAUAGUAUAACAAGGUUUCAAAUUUAUUAGGGUUUUAGUUCAUAAAUUAACAAAUCAAACAAAACCAAAAGUUGUAGAAGUUUUGAUUUAAAACCAAUUUCGUUUAAAAUCAAUCAACAGGGUUUUUUCAAUUGUCGAGAAGAAGUAAUCACAACAGAGAAGUAGGUUUUCGAAGAAAACAAACUUACAGUUGCCAUCGUUACUUCUUCACAAA